CUACCCGGGCGCCCCGGCCGCCGCCACCCCUCCCCGGCCCAGGAGAGGCUGCGGAGCCGCAGCCGCCCAGACCGCGCAGCGCGGGAGGCAGGUUCCGCACGAAACCGAGCGGGUGAGGACGUAAAGUGUGGCAUGGAAAGUAGGAGUCUUCAGCACACAGGUGUUUUCUUCUGCUGAAUCUUUUUAUGCUGGAGUUUGAGACUACCGAGUUCUUCUUGCUAACAACAGGACUGGCCAGUUCUACAAAGUUGUUGCUUUUCAUGGGCGCACGUUAACUGCCCGGAGUGGAAGCGCUGUGAGUGCCGAUCACCGAAUGGGCCGAGAGAAAAG
This 330-nucleotide small RNA is filed under the name Pongo abelii (Sumatran orangutan). Its description in RNAcentral is "processed transcript". Lineage: Eukaryota; Metazoa; Chordata; Mammalia; Primates; Hominidae. The record is from RNAcentral.